This is a long non-coding RNA of Eptesicus fuscus (big brown bat), 131 nucleotides long. RefSeq lists it as uncharacterized. The record is from RefSeq and is a predicted model, not a curated record. Lineage: Eukaryota; Metazoa; Chordata; Mammalia; Chiroptera; Vespertilionidae. The transcript has 3 exons.
CUGGCGGUAACAUGAAUGCUCGCUAUGAGGUGACAUUCUCUUUGCCAACUGCUACCCAUCCCCUCUCAGGAACAAAGUCCUGGCAGGCUGUGGAAAGAAGCUGCACUACAGGGAUCCUGCAGAUAUGGACA